This 900-nucleotide ribosomal RNA is filed under the name uncultured archaeon. RNAcentral describes it as "bacterial SSU rRNA". It matches the Rfam family "Archaeal small subunit ribosomal RNA", at positions 23 to 922 of the family's 1478-position model. The record is from RNAcentral.
GUUACUGCUAUCGGAGUUCGAUUAAGCCAUGCGAGUCUAAAGGUUUCUUCGGAAACCUUGGCGGACCGCUCAGUAACACGUGGAUAACCUACCCUUGGGACUGGAAUAACCCCGGGAAACUGGGGAUAAUACCGGAUAGAUCAGGGAUGCUGGAAUGCACCUUGGUCCAAAGCUCCGGCGCCCAAGGAUGGGUCUGCGGCCUAUCAGGUAGUAGUGGGUGUAACGUACCUACUAGCCAACGACGGGUACGGGUUGUGAGAGCAAGAGCCCGGAGAUGGAUUCUGAGACACGAAUCCAGGCCCUACGGGGUGCAGCAGGCGCGAAACCUUUACAAUGUGCGAAAGCAUGAUAAGGGAACUCCGAGUGCCAGUAUCUAAUACUGGCUGUCCUUGUGCCUAAAACGCACAAGAUAGCAAGGGCCGGGUAAGACCGGUGCCAGCCGCCGCGGUAACACCGGCGGCCCGAGUGGUAGCCGCUAUUAUUGGGUCUAAAGGGUCCGUAGCCGGUUCGAUAAGUCCUCUGGGAAAUCUGGUUGCUUAACAAUCAGACUGCCAAGGGAUACUGUCGAACUUGAGACCGGGAGAGGUAAGAGGUACUUCAGGGGUAGGAGUGAAAUCUUGUAAUCCCUGGGGGACCAUCUGUGGCGAAGGCGUCUUACCAGAACGGGUCUGACGGUGAGGGACGAAAGCUGGGGGCGCAAACCGGAUUAGAUACCCGGGUAGUCCCAGCCGUAAACGAUGCUCGCUAUGUGUCAGGUACGGUGUGACCGUAUCUGGUGCCGUAGGGAGGCCGUGAAGCGAGCCACCUGGGAAGUACGGCCGCAAGGCUGAAACUUAAAGGAAUUGGCGGGGGAGCACUACAACGGGUGGAGCCUGCGGUUUAAUUGGAUUCAACGCCGGA